AGUAGGGCCUGCCCACUGAUUUAUUGAAGGGCCGCAGUAUCUUAACUGUGCAAAGGUAGCAUAAUCAUUAGUUUUUUAAUUGAAAGCUGGAAUGAAUGGUUUGAUGAAAAAAUAGCUGUUUCAUUAUUAAUUAAUUAAAACUUUAUUUUUAAGUGAAAAAGCUUAAAUAAUUAUAAAAGACGAGAAGACCCUAUAGAGUUUAAUUAAUAAAAAUUAUUUUUUAUAAGAAUAAAGUUUUUUAUAGUUUAAAAUUAAUUUAAUUGGGGUGAUUAAAAAAUUGAAUAAACUUUUUUUAUAUAAUUACAUUAAUUUAUGAAUACUUGAUCCAUAAAAAUGAUUAAAAGAAU
This 347-nucleotide ribosomal RNA is filed under the name Scymnus crinitus. RNAcentral's name for it is "partial 16S ribosomal RNA". The record is from RNAcentral. Lineage: Eukaryota; Metazoa; Arthropoda; Insecta; Coleoptera; Coccinellidae.